Non-coding RNA from Kogia breviceps (pygmy sperm whale), 274 nucleotides. NCBI's taxonomy places the organism in Eukaryota, Metazoa, Chordata, Mammalia, Artiodactyla, Physeteridae. The record is from RefSeq and is a predicted model, not a curated record.
CACCCCUAGAUCCUCGGUGAUUUCAGAGCUGUUCUCUGCAGAACCGCGGUGAGGUCGGGGUGCCGUCGUGAAGUGAGUUUGAGGAGAGGGCUUGAGGCAGGACAAACAGGUUUCGGAACCGCAAGGAGUUUAGAGCCCUGACUGGCCUGCUGUGCUGUGUCCCAACCAGGAGCAUCUAAGUAACACUUUGCAGCUGGGGGUGUGGAUGGAGCUAAAUGCUUAAUUUGACCAUGAAAAAAAUCAGGACUGGAUUCUCAGAGAAGAAACAUUUUCA